Molecule: long non-coding RNA, 1241 nt
Filed under: Ananas comosus (pineapple)
Lineage: Eukaryota; Viridiplantae; Streptophyta; Magnoliopsida; Poales; Bromeliaceae
Description: long non-coding RNA (ACOM_LNC022921)
Source: RNAcentral
GUAUAUACUUUAUAUCUAAAUUUAUUUAUUUAUUUAUUUAUUUUGAGAGAUAGAUAGCACACUAUCCGAACCUAGGACCUCGAGUAUCAACCACGAAGUCUUUUGCCACUUGCUCCAGGGACACUCGGUAUUUUAUAUUUAAAUUUAAAAAUUAAAUUCUAAUUACUUUUCUAAUUAUUUUAUUGAGCUAGGUUGGUAUACUAUCGGUAGUACGGAGACCUCCGUGCUACCAAGUUGUUUUUAAUGAUGCGGCUUCCAAAUCGACGAUGGGCUCCGUUAGACUUAAUCUAUAAAACUUAAAGUACUUGAAAAUUAAAUUUUAUUAUUUUUCGGCAUCAUUUACCGAUCAAACGAGUAGUUUAAAAAUGAACGGCUGAAAAUAAAAAUCUCAUAAAAAAUAAUGAUAAAAGACUUGAAUUUAAUAUCAGAGGUACUGAUCUUACUCUAAAUAGUGAAAAAAAAUUUCUAUAAAAAUUUCAUCAGAUUUGAAUUGUUUUAUACUAUUAAAUUCACAAAUGCAUCACAUCUACCGUUAAAAUUGUUAAUUUUGAGACCUUUUGAUUACUAGCUAAAUGAUGUCGAAAAAUUAUGAAAUUUAAUUUCCAGAUACUUUUAAUAGUGUAGAUCAAGUCUAACGGAGCCGAUCGUCGAUUUGGGAGCCACAUCAUUGAAAACAAUUUGGUAGCACGGAGGCCUCCGUGCUACCGAUAGCAUACCAGUCUAACUCUAUUUUAUUUAUAUAUUUUAUUUUUUAAUUUAAUUUGGACCGGUAAUAGAUGUUUAGUUUCAUUACUUCCGAAUGCAAAUCAGUUUGUCCAAAAUAUUUUCUAUUAUAAAUUUCGACUAUAUCAAAAUUUCUAAAAUCAUUCAAUAUUAUUAGAGUUUAAACUAUAUUUAAUUAUUUGAUUAUUAUGUAAAGUUUAAUUUAAUAUUGUUUAGUUAUUUUUCAUAUUUUGGCUUAGGGGUGGUAAUCCAGCUCGUUUUCAGCUGAAAAUAAGCUAGAGAUCAAAUUGCUCAUUUAUUAAACGAAUCGAAUACGAACUGAAUUUUUCAGCUCGUUUAAUAAACGAGCCAAAUACGAACUGGGAUCAGCUCACUCGUGUUCGGCUCGAUAAUAGAUCUAAUAUAUAUAUUUUAUAUUUAUGUAAUUUAUUAAUUUAUAUAUAUAUAUAUAAUAUUUUUUAUUAUUUAAUUUUUAGCAAAAAAAACAAACUCAAUUAUAAAAAUAGCUCAAAAAUAAA